AUACUUUUCUUGACCUUUUGGCUAAGAAAAAGUAUAGUAUUUGUUCUUAUCAGUUUAAUAUAUAAUAUAUGUACGAUGUGGUUUUUAUAUUAAAAUUAUUUUUUAUAUAGAUAUCGAAUAUGAUUUUGUGAUGUCGCAACGUACGAGCGUUGAACUAGUAGGCUUUGGAUGUAGGUCGCUCGAUCGACGGCCUUGU
This is a non-coding RNA of Zea mays, 196 nucleotides long. NCBI's taxonomy places the organism in Eukaryota, Viridiplantae, Streptophyta, Magnoliopsida, Poales, Poaceae. The record is from Rfam.